Sinocyclocheilus grahami is the source of this 524-nucleotide long non-coding RNA. RefSeq lists it as uncharacterized. The transcript is spliced from 3 exons. The record is from RefSeq and is a predicted model, not a curated record. Lineage: Eukaryota; Metazoa; Chordata; Actinopteri; Cypriniformes; Cyprinidae.
CUUUUUUGUUCUGUGGGGACUAUAUGAGGUCAACAGCUGCAGUCCUCGAUCCGUGAGAGCUGAGCUCAGUUAUAAAAGUUUGGGCAUUUUGUGUUUAAAUGUAGGGUUUUCACCAAAUGUAUCCACAUUUGAUGUCAUUUCUACCAAUAAAUUAGUAUUAUCAGCAAAGCUCUCUUGUUGUAGAUCAUUAAAGCCUCAUGCUGCCUCAGAAGUCUGUCUGAAAUCGCUUUCUGGAGGAACCGUGAACAAAUGCUGCCUGUAAAGUCAUUGUCUGAUAAGAGAUCGACUCAUCAGCUUUCGGACGCAGCAGCAGCGACGAGUCUUCUGGGGAGAGAAAUUCAUAUUCGGUGAAGCUCCUCCUACAAACCCUGCAGAAUGAAACGCAACGAAGAGCAAACAGAGUUGAUUGAAGAAAACAAUGAGAAUGAAGAAUUGAGUGAAGUUUAGGAGAAAAAUAAUGUUAAAACUGGAGAAAAAACUUUGAGAUGCUCUCAAACCAAACAGAAAGAUUUAAAAAAGAGAAG